UGGGGGAUAUUGCACAAUGGGCGAAAGCCUGAUGCAGCGACGCCGCGUGGGGGAUGAAGGCCUUCGGGUUGUAAACUUCUUUUGCUCUGAACAAGGCGCACCAUGGGGUGUGUUGAGUGUAGGGGUUGAUUAGCGCCGGCUAAUUACGUGCCAGCAGCCGCGGUAAUACGUAGGGCGCGAGCGUUGUCCGGAAUUAUUGGGCGUAAAGGGCUUGUAGGUGGCUGGUUGCGUCUGUCGUGAAAGCUCAUGGCUUAACUGUGGGUUUGCGGUGGGUACGGGCUGGCUUGAGUGCAGUAGGGGAGGCUGGAAUUCCUGGUGUAGCGGUGGAAUGCGCAGAUAUCAGGAGGAAUACCGGUGGCGAAGGCGGGUCUCUGGGCUGUUACUGACACUGAGGAGCGAAAGCAUGGGGAGCGAACAGG
Molecule: ribosomal RNA, 419 nt
Filed under: bacterium
Lineage: Bacteria
Description: partial 16S ribosomal RNA
Rfam family: Bacterial small subunit ribosomal RNA
Source: RNAcentral